Molecule: RNA transcript, 1437 nt
Organism: Cucurbita moschata (crookneck pumpkin)
Lineage: Eukaryota; Viridiplantae; Streptophyta; Magnoliopsida; Cucurbitales; Cucurbitaceae
Exons: 2
Source: RefSeq, a predicted model, not a curated record
AACAGAAGAAGGUAUUGUCGUUGCGUUUCUUUCUCUGUCCUUUUUCGCUCCGCUUAAAAACAGAGCAACCCUUCGCCGGAAAAGCAUACUGGAACAACCGCCAUGGGUUAAGCCGAAGCCUCUCCGACCACCAUGGCUCCGCUUCUUGUACGGAGUCUUGCCUCUUCUCUCUUCGUCUUUGCCGAUAAAUCCUUCAUCAAUUUGUCUAAGAAAUACAUACUCCUCGAGAUUAUUCACAAACUAUUAGUCUCCUCCUUCCUCUUUUUCCUCCGUUUGCUUCCUUCCUUUUUCUCUUCAAUCCACCUGGUUCCCGGCGAUCGAUUCCCUCUAAAACCCUCAAAAAGUGUGUGUUACGGUGGCGGCGGAAACGGAAGCGGAGGCGGCGAUUUAGGGAUUUCUCGAGCCCUAACGCAAUUGUUGUCGAUUAUCAGUCACAUUCCAGUCAGUUCUCGCAAGUACGAAGUGGUUCGAUCGUUAGCGGAGAAGUUAAUCGACGAGAAUCACUGGGAAGGGAUUAAGGAACUUCGUGAGGUCAAUCGUACGGUUCUUUCCACGGCCUUUAACCGGACAAUUGGCCAGAUUGAAGCUCGGAUGCUAGAUUUAGGGUUUUUUCAGGACGAUGACGACGAAGACUGUGGCGGCGGGUCCGUGAAUGGACCGGCGGAGUUCCGGUUAGGUCAGAUUGUGAGGGCGGUUCGGUUUUUGGGAGAGUAGGCGUAUAGCCGGCUCGGUAGGGUAAAGGAGGGGGCAAACCAGACCAGAAUCUCGGCGGAGAAAUUGGCGGCGGAGGCGCUGUGGUUAGCGGAAAAAAUGGCGAGUUGCGGUUGUCGGAGUGAGGCUUGUAGGCGGUGGGCUUCGGCGGGUCAAUUGGGAAGACUCUCUCUCGCGGCGGAGCCGCAACUACAGGGCUCAUUAGUUAAACUCGCAGCAUUCAUGUUCAAGCAAUGCCGAGAAAUGGGAAAGGAAGAAGAAGCAGAGAGUGAGAGACGGCGGCGGCAGAUGCAAACCAAGCUGAAGAUGCUGAAUUCAUGGCUUCCGUUGCUAUGCAGAGGCGUCAAUGGGCCUGAUGCGCCCAUCCUAAGCACCGGGGAGCGCCGAGAGGUGGAGUCAGCGUUGGAGGAGAUGAUAGCCACACUGCAACAAGACGAUCAAGAACAAGUCUUGGCUCUGUGGCUCCACCAUUUUACUUACUCCUCCUCCUCCGACUGGCCUGACCUCCAUGCCUCCUAUACUCUCGCUGGUACACCGCCUCUCGUAAGCUCUUCGUCCACCGACAUUACUAAUCUAACCUUCCCAUACGUACUUCUUAGCUCAACCGGUUAAGACAUAUAUCAUUUCUAAAAAAAUUAUUCUUAUUGCUUGAUUGAAGUUAUGGAAAUGUUGUCCGACAAAGAUGGAAACUUUUGUGAAUUGUUAUUCGACAAACUAAGUUAACUA